CUCAAGGUGAGUGUAAGAUGUUUUAGGAAGUGAGACACCAUGAAACUGACUCCUGCAGUUCCUGAGGUGCCUGUGCAGGGGAAAAACAAACUAAGAAGAAUGUUGGAAAAUUGGGCUGUCUUAAAUACCACAUGAAUGACAGAAGCAGCAGAGACCUUGGGAAUGAAGGACACCUAGGAGGUUCUAGUUUUAAAGCACACAGGUCCAUGAGUGCAUUUCACCAACUGAACAGUGCUGUGAAGGGCCAGGACCUGCUGUGGGCUGCUGAAGGCUCAUGCUCCCUCUUGGGAAAUGUCUGCCAGAAGCAUUGAUUCUGUUCCACAGAUACAGCUUUGGAGGGAAGAGGAGCUGCGGAAAGUGCCUCUCCUGGAUUAUUCAUGAAGAGGAGAGGAAAGAGCUUCCAUGUAAAGACCUGCAGAGAAGAAGCUGGCUGUGCAAAGGAAGGGAGGAAGAAAGGGCUCCUUUCGCAAGGGGAAGG
RNAcentral lists this long non-coding RNA (478 nucleotides) under Fukomys damarensis (Damara mole-rat). RNAcentral describes it as "lncRNA (ENSFDAG00000028023.1)". Lineage: Eukaryota; Metazoa; Chordata; Mammalia; Rodentia; Bathyergidae. The record is from RNAcentral.